Molecule: ribosomal RNA, 1408 nt
Filed under: Candidatus Mycoplasma haematoselmanitadaridae
Lineage: Bacteria; Bacillati; Mycoplasmatota; Mollicutes; Mycoplasmatales; Mycoplasmataceae
Description: bacterial SSU rRNA
Rfam family: Bacterial small subunit ribosomal RNA
Source: RNAcentral
GGCUCAGAAUUAACGCUGAUGGCAUGCCUAAUACAUGCAAGUCGAACGAACUUUUCCUCACGGGAAAGUUAGUGGCGAACGGGUGAGUAAUACAUAUUUAACAUGCCCCUAAGAGGGAAAUAACCGUCUGAAAAGACGACUAAUGUCCCAUAGGAGGGGGAGCCAGACAGGAACCCUCUUUAAAGGUGAAAACCACUUAGGGAUUGGAAUAUGUUCUAUUAGCUAGUUGGUGGGGUAACUGCCCACCAAGGCGAUGAUAGAUAGCUGGUCUUAGAGGAUGAACAGCCACAAUGGGAUUGAGAUACGGCCCAUAUUCCUACGGGAAGCAGCAGUAGGGAAUCUUCCACAAUGGACGAAAGUCUGAUGGAGCAAUGCCAUGUGAACGAUGAAGGUCAUUUUGAUCGUAAAGUUCUUUUAGGGGGGAAAACUCUGAUGGUACCCCCUGAAUAAGUGACAGCAAACUAUGUGCCAGCAGCUGCGGUAAUACAUAGGUCGCGAGCGUUAUUCGGAUUUAUUGGGCGUAAAGCAAGCGCAGGCGGAUGGCUAAGUUCUAUGUUAAAAGCGGCUGCUUAACAGUCGUUUGCAUAGAAUACUAGCUGUCUAGAAUGUGGUAGGAAGUUUUGGAAUUAAAUAUGGAGCGGUGGAAUGUGUAGAUAUAUUUAAGAACACCAGAGGCGAAGGCGAAAACUUAGGCCAUUAUUGACGCUUAGGCUUGAAAGUGUGGGUAGCAAAUGGGAUUAGAUACCCCAGUAGUCCACACCGUAAACGAUGGGUAUUGGGUGUCGGGGUUUGAGCCUCGGUGCUGUAGCUUACGUGUUAAAUACCCCGCCUGGGUAGUACAUAUGCAAAUAUGAAACUCAAAGGAAUUGACGGGGACCUGAACAAGUGGUGGAACAUGUUGCUUAAUUCGAUAAUACACGAAAAACCUUACCAAGGUUUGACAUCCCUCGCAAAUCUAUAGAAAUAUAGUGGAGGUUAUCGAGGUGACAGGUGGUGCAUGGUUGUCGUCAGCUCGUGUCAUGAGAUGUUUGGUUAAGUCCCGCAACGAGCGCAACCCUACUCUUUAGUUACUUUUCUGAAGAGACUGAACAGUAAUGUAUAGGAAGGUUGGGAUCACGUCAAAUCAUCAUGCCCCUUAUGCCUUGGGCCGCAAACGUGUUACAAUGGCGAGUACAAUGUGUUGCAAUCUAGCGAUAGUGAGCUAAUCACUAAAACUCGUCUCAGUCCGGAUAAAAGGCUGCAAUUCGCCUUUUUGAAGUUGGAAUCACUAGUAAUCCCGUGUCAGCUAUAUCGGGGUGAAUACGUUCCCAGGUCUUGUACACACCGCCCGUCAAACUAGAAGAGGAGGAGGUAUUCGAAAACUCAUUCAUUUGCGUCUAGAAUAAAUCCUCUGAUUGGAGUUAAGUCG